AAGCACAAGCAAAAGAAUUAAAUGACCAUUUAAAUUCUGUAAAGCAAAAAAUUGAAAAUAAAGCAGCUAAACAAAAGA
Molecule: small RNA, 78 nt
Filed under: Staphylococcus aureus
Lineage: Bacteria; Bacillati; Bacillota; Bacilli; Caryophanales; Staphylococcaceae
Description: 5'UTR
Source: RNAcentral